CCGGAAGACUCCCCCCACCGCCCACCGCCAGCCCGCUCUGCGCCAUGUGUCUGGGUGGGAUCCCGGGGCCUGUCAGUGCGCAGGUGGUCAGACAGGCCUUGUUCUCUGCCGCUGCUUCUUUUCACUCGGUUCACGUCCCGGGCUCUUCCGUGGUGUCCGUGUACGGAGUCCCCCACUUUCUCACAGUGGGAAUCACCCCAGGACGUGUGUGUGCCACCCUGUCUCGCUCAGCUCUCCGGGCUGAGUUCCCUCCCUGUGGUGGCAUUUGUGACAGACGCCACUGGAUCCUGGGUGUGCAGCCCGGGCCUGCUUUCCUCCAGUGGCUUAGACCCAGCGGCUGCAGAGCCAUCCUACAGGAAGUCCGCUUUUCGUUUUUUGAGGAAUUUCCUCGCUGCUCCCCACAGUGGCUGCUCUGUCCCCACCAGCAGCACACCUGGCUCUGGGUUUUCCACCCCUGGCUGGCACUUCUUAUCUCCAGUGUCCCGGGGGUGUCUGGCGGUCCCCGAGGAGCCCAGCCCCACAGGCAAAGCGUAGGGCUCCCUGUGCACCCAUGCGUGGUACACAGCAUUGGGCAGUGUGCUUCACACGGCAGUGAGUUCUGGCCGGCCCAGUUUUGGUCCGGGAUCAGCUGGGGUGCGUGUGUGACCAGAGUCACAGUGCUGUUCCGCUGCUGUGCCGUCAGGAGCAUGUUCAGGUGCAGAGACCCUGGCAGUGGGCAGGGAGUGGGGACUGAAGGCACAGGAGGGGCCGGGUGGCCUUUCCCAUGGCAUGCAGAGUUGGUCGUUGGGCUGUACUCAGAAGUAACGGAAAAGUGGCAAAUGAACACUUUCACUGGACCAGGAAUUUAUUCCAUCGUUUUCCUUUUUAUGAACUGCAGUAACAAAGGACAGAAGAACAAGCAGUCAGGCAGUUUUCCUCAGGAGGCUGAGUGGGAGAAAGAGCCCAGCAGUUGUGUGUUGGCCCUGAAGACUGGCAGCUUGUGGAGUGUGUGUGUGUGUGUGUGUGUGUGUGUGUGCGCGCGAUCGAGCGUGUAGGUACAGGGGAUUGAGUUUGAACCCAGGGCCUUUGCACGGAGCCACAUCCCACCCCGUUUUAUUAGCGCAUUUGCAGAACACAGCGCUCACACCCCGUGGGGAGUCAGUGCGGGAACAGAGCACACCCUCAGCCUCCUCAGCCCUCUUCCAUGCCCUCCUCCUCCCUCUCUCUCCACCCCUUGGUCUCCUUCCCAGGUGCGAAAGAAAGCUCUCUGUUCCUGUCAUCUCUUAUUUUGCUCUUCAUUUACACUUUGGGUUUCUCGUAAGAAAAGCCAUGUGACAUUUAAGCUGUGUGUCUGAAUAGGUUUUGACUUAACAUUAUGGUCUCAAGGUCCAUCCAUUUUUCUUCAAAUGACUCAAAUUUAUUCUUCUUUAUAGCAGCCCCCCUUUUUUGAGACUGGGCUCCCUAAAUUGCUAAGGUGCCCAGGUUGGGCUCAAAGUACGAUCCUCCCACCUCAGCCUCCCAGAGUGCUGAGGUCACAGGUGUGGGCCACGGGCCUGGCUCCAGAGAGCUUUAAAGAGUGAAGAGACUUCCGGGAAGUGCCCUGCACUCCAUGGGAGGGAGGGAGCGAGCAGCCCCCUUGCACCUUGGCCCUCCCCUUUGUGAGCGCCCUGUUGGGGACAGGCUGGGGUCCGGCCCGUACUCUGAGCGAUCAGAGAGCAGUUCUGUGGCUCUCACGUUGGAAAGUCCCCCGUUCCCCACCCAGAGCAGCCUUUUCUGAACACAGAGACCGAGCUGGAACCGGAACCGAGCCUGAUGCGGUGCACCGCAAACUAACGCCUUCUGUGGGUUUCUCUUUUAGCUUUCCCUGGAUAACAGGUGCUCCGUGUGUGAGGCGCCCGCCAUGGUGAUGGCCGUGCACAGCCAGACUAUCCAGAUCCCGCAGUGCCCCAGCGGGUGGUCCUCACUCUGGAUCGGCUACUCCUUCGUGAUGCACACCAGCGCGGGUGCCGAGGGCUCCGGCCAAGCCCUGGCGUCGCCCGGGUCCUGCCUGGAGGAGUUCAGAAGCGCACCCUUCAUUGAGUGCCACGGCCGCGGGACCUGCAAUUACUACGCCAAUGCUUAUAGCUUCUGGCUGGCCACCAUUGAGAGGAACGAGAUGUUCAAGAAGCCCACACCCUCCACCUUGAAGGCCGGAGAGCUUCGCACCCACGUCAGCCGCUGCCAAGUGUGCAUGCGAAGAACAUAACGAGGCCGACCCAGCUGCCGUCACAACAUGGUGCUACUCCUCCUCCUCUGCUCCGCUGCCUCCUCCUCUUUUAUUUUUAACAGCAACGAACCCUAGAAGUAUAUCCUGUGUACCUCACUGUCCAGUAUGAAACCGUAAAGUGCCUUAUAGGAAUGUGCGUAACUAACACGCCCUGCUUCACUGGUCUCUGCUUGCUGAGGGAGAAGAGAGACAACGAUGAGGUUUCCAUAGUGGCAUCCAGAUGGCACUUGUGAUGAAUAAAAUACCUGUCCUGCUCCGGUCCUGCACUGAGGUGCAAGGUUGGAGCUCCAAGGUGCUAGGGGCGCGGUGCCCGCCCACCCG
Heterocephalus glaber (naked mole-rat) is the source of this 2566-nucleotide long non-coding RNA. Lineage: Eukaryota; Metazoa; Chordata; Mammalia; Rodentia; Bathyergidae. The record is from Ensembl.